GCGGCCCUCGUCUAACGGUUAGGAUACCGGACCCCAACUCCGGAGAUGACAGUUCGAGUCUGUCGGGCCGCA
RNAcentral lists this transfer RNA (72 nucleotides) under Rhodospirillaceae bacterium. RNAcentral describes it as "tRNA-Trp". It matches the Rfam family "tRNA". Rfam says of the family: Transfer RNA (tRNA) molecules are approximately 80 nucleotides in length. Their secondary structure includes four short double-helical elements and three loops (D, anti-codon, and T loops). The record is from RNAcentral. Lineage: Bacteria; Pseudomonadati; Pseudomonadota; Alphaproteobacteria; Rhodospirillales; Rhodospirillaceae.